This 383-nucleotide ribosomal RNA is filed under the name Ledella sp. NHM_381. RNAcentral's name for it is "partial 16S ribosomal RNA". The record is from RNAcentral. Lineage: Eukaryota; Metazoa; Mollusca; Bivalvia; Nuculanida sp.; Nuculanidae.
UGCGGUAUCCUGACCGUGCUAAGGUAGUGUAAUUUUUAGUCUAUUGAUUGUAGACCAAUGAAAGGAUUGACGGGUUGGAGUUGUCUACAUUUAUGUAUUUAGAAAUAAACUUUUGAGUGAAGAGGCUCAGAUUUUAUAAAGUGACGAGAAGACCCUGUCAAACUUUAAUUAAUAUAUUUUAUAGUGAAUAUAAAAAUAUAUAAAUUUUAGUUGGGGCAACUGGGAGGGAUAAAAAUCUUUUAUGUAUAUAUUGAAAUUUUUUUUUAUAUUUGAUCCAGAUUAGUAAAUUUUGAAUUUAGAAUAAGUUACUGGAGGGAUAACAGCAUAAUCUUUCUGGUAAGUACUUAUUAAUAGAUUGGUUUGGCACCUCGAUGUUGGCUUAG